RNAcentral lists this long non-coding RNA (18623 nucleotides) under Gallus gallus (chicken). Lineage: Eukaryota; Metazoa; Chordata; Aves; Galliformes; Phasianidae. The record is from RNAcentral.
AUUUUGUUCUUUUUGUUAGUCUUCCUUUUUGUUUUGUUUUUGUAAAAGAAGCCCUUCCAAAUGUGAAAGCAUGGGAAUUUUUACAGGAGACGUUUUAGCUUUACCUCACAACCCGGACAAGGUUCGUCUUUGGCAGAGGAUGUGCACAGUACAAAAAUGUGUUUGACUAGAAGUCAAUUUUUAUUUUGAGUGUAUAUAUAUUUUUUAAUUCAAUUGCUAUUAUUUCUUAUUCUUACUGUCAGCGUGCAGCUGCAGAUAAUGCGGUGGCUUAGACAAAUUCCUUCGUGGUGUAUGUUACAGCAUUAGAAUGAUCCCCCCACAUAUCUGGGCAAUGAAGAUGCGAAAACCAUGAAGAUGUUGGAAAAAGACAGAGGAAAAAAUUCAGGAAGGCUUGAUAAAAUGUGUUAUUUCAGUGAUUUAGGAGUCGGUAUUUCAUCUUGUCUAGCGAUUAGGUUGGAUAUUUUUCUUUUUAGAAAAUAAAGAGUAUCCUUGUGAGUCCUAAGUUCGUGUAUCCCACGUAGUUUCAUUUUUCAACAGUAUUCUGUGUUUGCAUCUCGUAUUUUAAAUGUAAAUGUUGACAUUGAAAUCAAUUACUCUUGUAAAUUAUUCUUUUAAAAGGUGAAGAGAAAAAGUUGUUCAGUGACGUAAAGUGAAAGAUGUGACUGUGUGAAGGGAAAAGCCCAAUAACCCCUGUAAACUGCAGCAUCAGACCCUAAGUAGCUGCCUCUCCAGUAGCACUGCAUUAGAGCAAACACUGCUCAAGCUGUAGUUUUUACCAGGCUUCUGUUGUGUCAGAAGUGUCUCAGCCUGGAUGUAGCCCAGAUUUGUGAAAUGCACAGCAGUAGAAUUUGAGUUUUCAAGUGAAAUAACUCUUCCUUGUCUGAACCGUCCUUCAAAAUGCGGGAUUAGAAGUUUCCUACCACAUCAUCUUUAGGACUCCCAGAAAAUUCUUCUGCAGCUUGUGGCUGCCCGGAAAAGGAUGUUGUAGUAGUCUGGCAAAAUGAACUCAAGAUGCACAAGAAGAACAUACUAGAGACUGAUCUGCAAGGUGUUCAGGUUCACUGAUAAGAUGCAAACCAGAAUCUGCCUGUUGGUUAUCUUUCCAGACAUGUUUCAGAGCUAAUAAGGGAGACUGACGAGUACCAUGACUUCAAACAGAAGCAUUUUGAGAAAUGACCUAGGGGGAGCCAAGUUACAAGUUGAACUCUAACCAAGUUAGAAGAGGAAAUAAGUGAAGAUUGGUCAUGUAUGCAAAGAAAAUGACAAGGUAUCUAAGGCAAUCACAAUUCAGAUUAAUUUCUUGCUGGUGUAGAGGUCUUCAUGGUACAUUAAUUCUGGCAAUAAACUUUAAAAAUAGUCCUUGGAAAAGAUGUUUUGAAAAGAACUUUUUUCUACUGUUUCAUUGCCAGAGUAAGUAUAUGUCUUUAUAAGUGUCUUGAAGAUACAUCUUUGAAGUCAUCAUUGUGUUGAAUUGUAGCUGUAUUUCUAGAAGUAAAUGAUGAUCGCAUUCGUGAGCUGUGUUUUUGGCAGAAGUGAGUAAAAACACUGCUUCUCCCAACACCAAAAUAAAAUCUUGCUAGACGCUGUCAAUUUCUGAGGCUUUAAAGUAAUCAUUUCAUGAAUUCAUUUAAAUCACUGCACUUGAACGCUCAGUGCACAAGUUAAACCAUUUUCUCUUUUCUUUGUCAUGUAUAACCAUUACAAAUAAAUGUGCUAGUACUUGUUUUGCUCUGUAUUUAAAGGAUGUGUUCUCUUAAGUUGUUCUGCAGAUUUGUAACUUGAGGAAUGUAAAAUCAGUACUACUGACAACUCAUAUCCCUCAAAUACUCUCAAUAACGUGCAUUUGUAAUAUUUACACAGUGGCUGCUAAGAGGCUGACACAAGGCUAUAUACCACUUAAGAUCUGAGGUUAAAUGGUUCUUCAGUGAUGCAUAAAAUUUGUAUUGAUCAUCUGCCCGGCACUGAAUUGAACCUAUUAAUGGAUAAGCCUUACAGUAUCACUAUGAGAAAGGGAAUUAUGAUCUCAAUUUAAAAAGUGGUAAAACAGAGCCCCAAGGGCUCAAGUAAUCAUUUCAAGUCGUACAGGAAGUAUAUAGCAGAGCUCUCAAUCUAAGCCAGCUCACCUGACCAACCAUCCUUGUGUUUGUUGUCCUUUUCAUCAUAUUCUGUCAGGUGUGGAAUGUGUAUGUCAACAGCUAUGCAUUCCUUAUGCACUGCUUUAACAGUCAAGUUCUCUUGCAAAGUAACUUAAAACACACAGGGAAUGUGAAUUGUGAAUCUCUCUUGUCCAUAAAGAACACGACACAUGAUGCAAAAGGGCCAGCAUAAACAACAUAAGUUGGAUUUUAAUAAGUUAAAAACAAAAUGUACAGGAAGACCUGUUGUUGUUAUGACCUCUCUAUUUUUUCUCUUUUUAAUUCUUUUCCCUUUUCUUUGCAUGGUGUUCUAGAUCUUUCUGUAGUACAGAGAGGAACUGCUUGUAUAGAACAAUUAAUGCUUUUGCUUUUGUAAUCUUGCUGAAUGUCUAUUUGAUUUCUUUAGCAAAUGUCAGGUCACAUGUUGGCUGAUUGCGUUCUGAAACUGAAGUAUAAAUCAUCUUCUCAAGUGACUAACUGUCAUUUUUCUUUGCAAAAUAUUUUUCUAUCUCUACCUUAUGUAACUCUUACAGUUGCUGACAUUUUCCUAAAAGCCCUGUUCAUUUGACACUCAAGAUUUCAGUAUAAAACUAUAGAUGAGAAUAGAUAACUCUUUUGCCUUCGCUUAGUACCUGUUUCCUUUACCAUUAGUUGAAGAAAGGAGUAUUAUGCAUUUCUGAGUCAUACUGUAUAAAGGUACUUUAUUUUAUACAUCAUUAGAAUUUUAAAAGAAGAAGAAGGAAAAGCUGUACCAUAGGUGAAAGCAAGAGUUAACAUGCUUGAACUGUAGAAAAUGGCUAUUAAAUUUUGAUGGAUGCUAUCACUGAUAGAUCAAAUAAAUGUUGAUGUAGUGAUGUAGAGGGUAUGGAUAAAAAGAUGAGUGCUACAGAAAUGGUUGUUAGUAUUAAUGGAAAACAUAUAUAAAAAUAUAUAAUCCUCAGCCAAAGACAUGGAUCUACCCAGAAGAAAAGAACAGAGUAUGGACUUCUUAUAUGCCUUGAGUUCUGUCUAUAAGAGUGCAGCCCUAUAUAGCUGUGUCUUGUCACAGAUUAAGAUUGCAUAUACUUGGCCAUGCCUUAUGUUUUAUUGUGCCCGAUUCCUGCUGGCUUAGAGAUGAUAUUCUAGUAUUAAUAAUCUGCUUUACGUAUUUAUAUGUUGGUAGAAAGCUGUUAAUGAGUAUUCCUAACAGAUCUUUUUAAUCAAACAUAAAAUGUAAGAAUUUCCUAGGAAAAAAUGGCUGCAUAACAUGGAAACAGUUGGUAUUAAAUUCCUGUUGGUGUGGCCUUUGACUCGCAGCUUCUGCUGAGUCCAGCUGAGAGAUAAAUGAGAUAAUUUUGCUGGUGUUUCAGGUCAGCACUUAUGCCAAUCUCACCAUCAUGGACAGUGAAUUCAAAUGUUUCUGAACAGCUCUGGAAAAACACAUUCAAGAAAAGCUGUGUUCCAUCUGACAGAAUGCUACUUUUAAGCACUUAGGGUGAUCUGGAAUGCCAGGACUUUGGUCCUGAGAAUUGGUCCGCUAUUCCUAAAGCAUCCAAGCUCAAAUCUUUUAGUUAAAAGUCUCUAGAUUGUUUAAAAUUUAUGGGUAGAUGCAGGGAAUUUUAAGACUCCUGAAGGAGUCUGUAGGGGUAGGUUUAAAAUGUCCAUAUAAAUACAGUCUUAAUCUCUAAAAAAACAAUCUGAAUUGAUUGAGUACUGAUGUAAAUGUAAUGUAAAAGAGGAUUGCUGUGCUUAGAAAGGGAAGUCAGAUCUUUAUCUAAAUAUCUCUGCUUUAUAAUAAGAUACAGUAUGAUAACAUGCACAGUGAACAGUUGAAAUCAGCACAGACACAUCUGAGAAGGGACACUUUAGUCACGUAAAGAAAGGUGUGAUAAGUACCUUCCUCGAAAGCCAGACUCCCUGCAGUUUAGAGCAGCCUAUUUUAUUGACAUGUGUGACAUCUCCUGAUUGUGUUUUGGGGGUUUGUAGAAUUACUGUACCCUUCUUAGCAAAGGCAGAUGUAGGAUUGGGUCUCCAAGAAACAGAUUCCAUCUAUCCAUUUACAUACCAGUCUGACCUUACCACUGAAGAUUCUUAAAGCUGGUUCAUGGACAUCAUAAAUUUGUACUCCUCAGUUCAUAAAGGUAGGGACAUAAUAUUUUACAGGUGUGGAAGUGAAACAUAGAUGUGAAUAUUUUAAGACAUAUAGCCUUGACAAUGAUACUUAAAAUCAUUCAUCAUGGAUCAGCUCAGGGAAAUAAGCAGGAUUGUAGUUUGCCUUUGAAAGUCUGACUAGUUACUAUAGCACCUGAAGAAACCAAGUGAACUGAACUUAUUUUUCUGAGAAUACUUGUACAAGAGGACAAAGAAAAUCUUGAAAAUCUGUUGUACGCUCGUGAAAUGAAUCCAACUCUCUGAAAUUUCUGAAUAUCUGAAGAACUUUUCUGUGUUCCACCUUACUCUUCUCUGAUUUGAAAACAUCUUUUUUGAGUUCUUGGAAAACUGUGCAUUUCUACUGUGUGCUGUUCUCAUUAAAUCUAUCUUUCUCUUGCUACAAGCUCUGAUGGAGGGGGACUUCCAACAGUACUCUCUCAUAGGUCCCCCACUGCAUAUUAGACAACACUGGGUCAUGAACACUAAAGUCUCCAAAGGCCUACUGGAUGAUCCCCUUUUAAGAUCUCUGGUGGUACAAGUUGUCCCAGAUUAGAAGCUAUUUGCAGGCUUCGGGAAUGUGAAGAGUAUGUCUCCCCAGUUACAUAUCUCAGGAGAUCUGCAAAGAAAAAGAGGAUGAUUAAAGUUUAUGGCUUGCAAAAGAAGGAAAUCAAGGGGAUUAUUUCUCGGUGUUCUUUUUAUGAGAUUUUUUUUUUAAAGGAAAAAUAUUUUGACUGACAGGCCUUUGAACAUGCUGUGAGUUCUGUAUUUGCAGUAAGGCCUGGAGGAACAAGCUUUUAUUUUCUACUAGAAGACUGCAGUCUUUAGCACUCUCAGUAUUAAGAUCAUUGCAGGCAGGCAUCCCUGCUGAUAUUACUAAAAGGAACUUUAAUCAAUCUUGAAAAAAGACUUCAAUAACCUGAAUUAUGGCCACUAGUGCUAGACCUUUGAUAGGAGAAUGGGUCUAGCAGUAUUGAUUUUCUCACUCUUAGCAUUUCUUCUGAUAUUUUUGCCACCUACUAGUAAUGUGUAUUUUAAUAAAACUUUAUGAACUGCCUUUUCCCAGCAAUCUUUCUGUUUUUAAGUGGAAAAUUUUUUACAUCAUUUGCAUGCUUUUUUUUCAUUUUGAAACAAAUACAAUUUUUGUGGAAGAUUGCGGAUUCCAAAACCAAUCUAAAAAUAGCAACUUCCCUCUCUAAUUAUGACACAGCCCUUUGUCAGUACUACCAGAUGGGGAAGAUGAGCCAGAAAAUAGUAUGAAUAGUCACCAGUUGUCUUCUUUCAUUUCUCUUUUUCUGUGAGAAAGCAAGAUCUUUUGCAUUUUCUUGACAUUUUAAGUGCUAGACUUUAUGUUUAGAAAAACUUAGAGCUGGUUUUGACAAAACAGCCUCGAGAGGUUUAGAGAAUUCAGAGCCUUCCAGGGACAUCAGCAGAAUUGAGAGAACUGAUAGAAAGGACCUAUGGGCUAGGAAAUCUGAUGGGGUGCACACAAGAGUGGUUUACUAUUUACAUGUAAAGAAAAAUAGGGAAAAAAAAAAGCUGAAACUACUAAUCUUGAUAAUAUUUUUCUAGAUUACAGCAAAGCUCAUAGGUGUCAUCUUGCAUAUGGCCUGUGGCCUUUUGACCUUCUGAAAGAUGGCCUUGUGGUUUCAUAGGUUAGCUCUCCAUGAUUAAGUUGUUACUGAGGAGACCGCUAACACUUUUCCACAGCACUGUUGCUGUACCUUUAUAGUGACUGCUAAAUGAUGUGGUACGUACCACAGAGACCACUGUCCAGAGGAAAGUGCUGUCAGAGAGUGAGAGAGGGUUAACCACAAAAUAUUUACAAUUUUAGCAUGCACUGAAAAAAAUAUAUAGCUGAAAACAGUAUUUUCCUUUUGCUCUCUUUGUGCAUUGUGGUUUUAGAUUGGCUGCAAAAAUGUUUCUGUAUAGUGUGGAUUGUCUACAGCAGAUGGCAAACAAUGAUUAACCAUUUCCUUCCAACUGCUCUUUAAUGGGCAGAAACCAAGGUGAACCAGUUACUCGUAUUAAAUUAAGCUGAAAAAAAUCAUGUAGUUAUGAGUGUAAAUGUUCUCAUCUAAUAUAAACUUUCCAAGAAUAGUGCAGUUGGGGCUGGAUGUCUUCUUUCAAGCUUAUUUCCAGUGGCAGAGGAUGUAAAGAACUAAAUGAUAGUAAAGUAUAAUUAUAGUUUUUAAUUUACUUUUAAAUUAUUCCAUUUUUAAGUGAAAUACUGAUUUACACAAGUGCUGGACCUCUGAACUACUUGGAUUUGCUACUGUAUCUUAACCAAAAGUAAGUUUCUUGUAUGCUGCUGAUGAGACUUAAUAUGUUUUCAUAAAAUAAAGCUUCUGUAAGAUUAGAGUGGAAGUACUGCUCUAGCAUUAAGAGCUAGGGUAAUAGGAUGCACAUCUGCUAUAUAUUCACAUUUCUAAGCUGUUCUACUUUUCGUACAUUAAGGCCAAAGGAGGCCUAGGAUAGAUGCUUGCUUUCUUUUAAUUUGAAAGCACAAAAAAAAACCCAAUACCUUCUUAAUAUUGUUAAUUUAAGAAGUAGUGUCAUCAGUGAGAUGAUAGUGAUACAGGCUGGGAGCCAGCUGUGUAGGAAUCAGUUCAGUAGAAACAGUGCUGGUAGUCCUGAUACUCAAGGUGAAUAUCAGGUAGCCAUAUGCCCUUCCAGCAGAACCAGCUUGCAUUCAGUGUUGCAUUGGCAAGACUAAAGGCAGCAGCUCUAGAAAAGGGGCCCUCUCCUUUUAGCACUUGUGAGACUCUAUUUGGAGUUCUGUGCCCAGUUCUAAGGUACAAGGUGGCAACCACCUUGCUAGCACAAGUCCAGUGGAAGGCGCCAGUACGUGGCUGGAGUACAUGGUGAACAAGGAGAGACUGAAAGAGCUGGGUCUGUACAGCUGGAGAAAGAAAGGCAGAAGGGCAACCCUACUGCUAUCUACAGCUACCUUAUUGAUGUUAGGGUAAGGAAAAGAUGGAGCCAGGCUCUUCUCGAAGGUGCCACAGAAACAGAAUGAGGGCAAACAGACACAAGCUGGAAAAUGAAAAGUUCCAGUCAGAUAUAAGGAAAAGCAUUUUACCAAAGUGUGUUGAAACACUGCAACAAAUGUCCACAUUGACUAUGAUAUCUCCAUCCCUAGAAGUAUCCAAGAUUCAUCUGGGUAUAGACUUUAGCAACUUGAUCUCAUUAGACCUGCUUUGAGGAGGAUUAGGUAUUUCCAGAGGCCUUCCGAGCUCCAUUAUUCUAUGGUUAUUAGAUUCUGUGAUAAGUAGGACCAGUUUUUUUUUCUACAUGACUCUCUCUGAAGUGAACUCAUAGCUUCAUUGAAAUCAAAUAACAAGAUUCUUAUUGACUUCGUGAUACUCUUUUGUGUGAUUUGGAGGGUUCUUUGAAAUCAAAUAAUACUUUUCAUGUUAGGAGAACUUCAGAGAAAAGCUUUUGUUUUUUUCUGAAAGUUUAUUUCACAACCAACAGAUUCCUUUAGCAUAUAUGGAUAAAGUUAUCCAUAUAGAAGAUAAAGAUUUUUUGCUCUAAAGGAGCAAAAAAAAAACCUGAUAUUUUUCUCUCAAAUUUGUACCUGUAUUCCUGUAAGCUCAAGUAUUUAAUUGACUGGCUUAAAAGUGGAGGGGAAAUUGGUGAUAGAAGAAGAGUGUCGUUCUCAUGAUCCCGAAAAUAGAAAGUAUUUCAAACCCUUGAAAUCUGUUGUCCAGCUUUGACAUUAACAAAGUAAAUCAUACAAAGAAAUAUUAUAUAAAAAGCCCAAAUCCUACUGUGAGCUUAAUUACAUUUACAUGUUUACAUUUUACAACUUCCUGUGACAAAGCGAAUAAAAUGCCGUGUGAACAGAGUGUAGUAUUAAAGCAAAUGUUCAUUUACUGUAUUUCUGAAGAGGGCAAAGAGUUAUUAAUGUUGCUUAGAUUGGCUUUUUUUAACUGCCACUUGUAAGUAGAGUGUAUAUAGCCUUUUUGUGCUAUGUUCAUAUGAUGAAAACAUCAAGGGCGUGUUUUCUCCUCUUACCCAACCCACUUUUUCUACUUUGUAAUUUUCCAUAUGCUGUUGACUACAAUAUUUUUAAUUGAGUGUGGUGCAUACAUGCCUGGAUAGUGAUAAAUCACACUGCAGACUAUGUGGCCCAUAAAAAUUUUAUGCAGCUAUGAGAAGAAGUUACUGUCAUUACAGGACCAUUUGGGGAACCAGAGUACUUGUUUCAGCAGUCUGGGUUUGAUCUUUUAAUGCUAUCAGUGUUUUGGAUGAGUGCAGAUGCAUACAUGAUGAAUUUAGAAUGUUCCGGGAAUACUAGAAAACGUCUAAAUACCUCCAGUGUUGAGGUUAAAUUCUCAGUUUGGAAAUUCUUCUACCCAAAUCUUCAUAGCAUACCUUUCCAUAAGAAGAGUCUGGAUCUAAGAAACAUCUAUCGCUAUGUUAAUUCUUAUGCACAAAGUUCCAAUGUUCACCAUUUGUUGUGAUUUCAUAGCAAUAUUAAUAAAGUAUUGUUGUUUCUUAUCCCCCAACUCUUCAGAACUUGUUUUCUUUGCAGCAUUUUCCUUGUAGUCAGGAGGGAAUUUCACAUGCUUUUAGAAAAUCUGACAAAAUACAAAAGUCAUUAGCUGGAACACAAAAAAACAAGUGGCCUAAGAGCUGUGAUUCUGAGAACAGGAAAUAUUGAUUUUGUGAUUCAGGAAGAUUUUAUUUAAUGGGGCAUUUAAACGUUUGUAUGUGAAUCUGUUCCAUGACAUACACUGCAGUUAGCAACAGCUUUUGUGUAUCAUGUCUAAUAUACCCAUACACUUCUGACAGUAUGUAUAUUCAUGAGAUUCAUAACAUUUUCCUGCAGUUGUCCUCAUAACAGAUUUCAUUUCAAAGCAGCACUUCAUUGAUGUAGAACACUGACGCAUUGUACAUAUAAUUGUUUCUCAUCUGUAUGAUUAUUUUGUGACACCUAGUGGAUAUAUUAAUAGUUGUGCCAGUUCAAAUUUCCUUGGGUUGUUUGGGUUGUCUGAAUAUACAUUCUGGCCUGCAAACUGAAUUCACAUCUUAAACACAUCGAAUCUCGGUCUUUCUUUCUUACUUUCUCUCUUUUUCCUUUUUUUUUUUUUUUUUUUUUUAAUUUUUAUUUGACUUUGAUCCUGGAAUGGUUUGGUCAUAAUCAGCUGAACAAAUACUCAGCACCCAAAAGUCCUUAGGAAAUCCCAUUAGUCCUAAAACAAUACAAGGUAGUAAAAAUUUGGAAAUGUCACGAUACUGUUAAGUCAGAGUCCCUACAUGUGCAGUGUGUGAUCUUCACCCAUCAGCUUUUUCUACUGCAUCAAUUUUUCUGUAUAGUAGAUCAAGUAUGAAGUUCCCUUUGGAGUUGAGCAUGCGUUACAUAAAAUUGUGAAAGGUUACAAAGAAGUACUCAGACUUUUCGCCCUAUGGGGGCUGUAACAAAUCCAAUUCCUUUACUGUUCAUAGAGAAUGAAAUGUGAUAAAUAAUUAAAAUAUUUUUCUAUAAACAUGAGAAUGUAUUUAGAAAAUUUAUAUCAAUAAAUGUAGUCUAGAAAUGCCUUAAACGCAUGACCCACUUUCGUGACUAAGAUAUAUCAUAUGAAGUAUAUCUUAAUUUACAUUCUGAGCCUGAAGCUUAUUUUGAAGUCAUUUGUCCUACAGGCAGAGUUGAAUUACUGUCUUGUGUAUAUACUGCAAAUGCUGGGAAAUAGGAAAGUCAGUAUUUUCAUAUGCCUGGUUUUUAUGUUCAUAAAGGGAGAGGAAGUAUGUUUUUUUGGACAGUGGCCUCAAGUCGGUUUGCUCUGUUGGUGAGUUGAUGCUGUUGGUGUGCAUGUUUAUAACUUCAUAGAUGGUAUUCCUUACCCAGUAGGUCUUAAAUUCUGGCAUACCAGAGAAGAUGCAGGGCAAUAGCUCAUAUGAUAGCUAGGGUAUGAUUUUAGUAGUUCCUAACAAGGAUCUGAAAGGAGCUGUAAAGUGCAUUUAUUUAUAAAUAAGAGAUUGUGUAUUUUUUGUACUUGGGGAAUUUGAAUUGAGUUGUCCGGAAGACAUAAAUUAUCUUUGAAGACCAUCUUCAAAAUUUUAUGUUUUACCUUGUCUCUCUUCAGGGAGAAUUUCUUAUUUCCACUCCCAAAAGGCUUCAGAAUCAGAAAACGCAGUACUGAACUGUGUCUUUAAUACCAACUGAUAUGGCAUUCUUUUCCUGUACUCUUCAGAGUUGCUUAUCAUAACAUUCCUCUUGUGACUUUGGUUUAUGUAAAAUUAGAGCCUGUAGCAACAACAUCAUGAAUAAUGGACACAAAGUUUCUAACACAUCAUUGAACGCUGGCAAAGAUCUGCUUACUCUCUACCACCUGAAGCCAUGGUUCGAGUUCAUUAAUGAAUGUUUAACUAGUGAAAGCUUUAGUCUCAAGUAAAAAGACUUAGACUGGAGUAAAUCUAUUGAGAGCCUCAGUCACCUGAGAAAACAAAAGGUUGUGCGGAGGGAGCUGAAAGCAGGCAGUGCUGUGUGUCUGGCCACCCGAGCUCCUUGCCUGCAAUUCAUGAAGGGUGUUCAUUGUGCAAACGUGUGCCGUAUCAGUGUCACUGCCCCAGUCACCCCAAGGCACUCCAGAUGCCAUGCUCAGCUCCCUUGGCACGCAUGUCUACAGCAGCUGCCCCCCUUGCACUUGACAUCAGCUUGCUAUGUUUGAAGUAUCCCUGCAGGUCAUGAUGCUGAGGGCCAGCACAGUCUGGGAUGCCUGGUCUUGCGGACUCCACAGGAUUGCUGCCACAUACAAGUUAGGGUGCAACAGCCCUGGCAAUGAUCAGCAACUUUUGGUGGUUUCCCCCCUCUCUUUUUUAAGGCUUGUGUUAUGUGAACUUAUCUAGGUCUUGGACUGGGCUUUGUGUUGGAUGGCUAACGAGACCAGUAAUUUCGUUAACUUGCGCAGUGAGUGUAUGUAUAAGCCUUCUUUCCAUUGGCAGUAACGAUAACCAGUAACAGUAACGAAUCAGAGCAGAGACAAAAGAGUUGUGGCAAAACCACCUGUGUUUCUUUUUUGAAUCAUACCACAAUUUGAGACAAUGUUGGAGAAUAACAAAGCUGUUACUGUACAUAGAGGUCAUCUGCUGGUAGCCAAAGAAAAACACUAAUUGAAAGAUAAAAGGCAUCUUAAUCAUUAGCAGCAUUGUUACCAGUAAAUUCAUUGAGGUUGCCAGGAGUCGUAGAUGUGAGACGUAAGGCCCAGUUCAGGCUCCAAAAGGAAGGCUAAGGGAGGGGACAAAAGACAGAACAUGAGCCAGACACAGCUGUGUCAGAAGCUAUCACAUCUCCAGAAGUUGAGGCGUGCAUGCAGCCUUCAGCUGUGUGAGUGGGCAGGCUCAGCAGAGGCCUUUGCUUCCAUGUCCCUUAACAGGUGGAGUUCUCUCAUUGUCACCUGAUACGCCAUGGAAAGAUGAAGCCUCAUCGCUCUCUGUGCUUAGUAUCCCCUUCCAGUGUAUUUCGGCACUGAUGUCCCCACAGAAGUCUCCCAUGGGUGAAGGUGGUACGUUAAUGCAGCAUGCUUCACUGGUGGGAGCUUCUUGCUGCAGCCUCACAGUGUUAGUUUGGUCCCUUGUUGAAACAGUAGUAGUCCUUACACAGACUGUGCUGGCUUUGAAUUUAGAACUAUUUAGGAUUCUAAACAAUGAUGCGGAUUGAUUGCAGUCCGGCACAGUCAGUGUAAAUACUUCUGCUUUUGCAAGUGAACUUUUUGUUCAGGUGUGUAGCCUCCAGAAAGAAAAAUACAAGUAACGAGAAAUAACCAGCCCAGUGCAGUUACGGUUUGCAAGGACUGCACAAGGAUUUUCUCUGUCUUAAUGUAUGUAGAUUUCCAGGCUUCUUCUUCUUCACCAUCAGGAUGAACCAAGCGCAGCAGCUCAAGCCAAAUACAGCCCGAACCUCGGAACGUUGUUCUGAGGUGGAAUUUAUUUUUUUUUAAGUGCUUGGCAGCAUUACUCAAAAUAACUGUUUGUGUUAUGGCCAAGUAUAUAGCAAGGUGGGUUGGAAGAUACUGGUCCUGGUUGUUCCUGCAGUUGGACUUGCUAUUUCCACGGGGAUCUGAGAAAGGUGUGUUUUUUGAAGAGCUGGGCAUCACUUACAAGUAAAAGAUAGGGUGUGUAGUUUAGGUGUUAUAUUUUAUGUUCAAAGAUAUUAAGCAAAUCCGGGUGACUUAAGCUGAGGAGACAGUUCUUCCAAAAAAAAAGAAAAUCCAAUAAUCAACAACCUAUAAUAAAAAUACUGUGGGGGAAGGGAGUCAUUGGUAUUUCGUUUUUCUAUCAUCUGUGUGCAUGUAGUCUGAGAUAGUGCAUGGAGAUGAAUUACGAAUGUUUAGGAAAUGCUUGCUGUUAAGGGAGGAGUUAUAUACACAUUUUGUUCUUUGCUAUCUCUGACAAGAGAAAAUAACACUGACACAUUUUCUUAGCUCUUAACAAGAAACAAUCCCUAAUUUGUCACAGCUUCACCUCCUCUUCCUGCAGAGACUCAUCUCCCUGAUAUCCAGCCCUUGCUUUUUUACCUUCAUGCUUGGUGAAAUGUGAAGAGUACCUGUAACAUUUGUUUUUCGUAAGACAUAUCUCACUUACUCCUGGUGGAUUUGCCCUUCCUACACAGGUUUUGUCUCCCGUGGAUGCUGGCUUCACCCCAUUUUUCCCAUUGGGAUCUGCCAAACUUCAUUUCUGCCCUUGAGAGCUAGGAAGCACAGCCCAGGGUGAGAUGCUGCUGCUGCUCCCACAGCUGUCCAUGUCACGCCCGGCAGCCAUCUUAGGCUGGACAGAAAGCCCACCAGGGCCAGCACAGCACAUCAGCUGGUAAGUGAGCAGACAGAAGAAUUAUGCUAGGAAAACAUCAAGGGCAAAUAUUUAAGUUGUACAAACAAAUAGCUCCUAAUACACUAAACAGUUCUGCUUCCUUAUGGAGUUUAUUUAAAAUUAAAAAGCCAAGUGUCUCCCUAAAUACUGAUUUGCUGAAGAAUACGAGUGCAACACACAAAGUAGCCAGUAGUUAGCCCUGGUUUAACUUCUCUUUUUAUGGAAGCUUUGGGAGAUGCUGAGUGUUUUUAUCAUUCUGGGUAGCUUUUUUUUUUCUUUUAGCAUUUGGAGUAUUACAUAAGCAGAACUCGGAAAUAAAUGUAGUAGAAGAGUAAAAUGUCCGUGUAAGUGCUACAGUUUGCAUAAACAGAAGGCAUGAUCCGACACUGAAGAAAAAUAAGGUGCUGCUUUGAUAGAAAAUGAUAUUUUUCCCACUACAGCCCUUUGGAAGCAUCUGUUUAACAUUCAAGACUUUUCACAUCAGUCAGGCUAAGAAAUGCCUGAUGUACAUGUGUGGAACGUGUCUGUGAAGGUGCAGAACCCCUGUGUUGUACACACAGCCCCAGCUCCUUGUCUUUAAUUCUAGCCAGAUUCUUAUACACCCAUUCAGUAGAUUAAGGCAGCAGUUAUUAAGCAUGUUCCAUUUUUAUGUGGCAUUGUAAACCUUUUAUGAAAUGUUAUAUAAGCUUUCAUUUUUGUGGAGGAAUUUAACUGAAGCUAGCGUGAGUCCACAUAAGAGUAAGGAAGCCUUUAUACAGGUGUGCAGUUGUAAGGCUGCAGUGUGUCAGAUGUGAUUAUUUACACUGAUGUAUGUUUUUACAUGCUGUUGCCAUUUUUUUCCCCAUAUAUAGAAUGUUCAAGAUUUUAGGAACAUCCAUAAAUUAUUACAGAGCUCGGAGACACGUAUUCCACAGAGUUCUGGUGUAACUGCUACUUUCUGCCAAAUUUUUCUGAACAGUUUGAUAAAGAAAAUGGUUUCAGUGACUACGUGAAAUUAUUUAAUAGAUAGCACUAUGUUACAGUACCUAUAAUGUUCUGUGCAAUAAUAAGUUAAAAGGUUGGACAAAAUAAUGUGACUGGUUUUAAUAGGAUUAGGGCUCACUACAGUCAGUUGCUUCUAAAUUGUGUUCUAAUGUGAAAUUUAGACAAACAACUGAGUGCAGUAGACUUGGUGCCGUGAAUAUUUCCUAUUGUGCCCCUCUGAAGCUGCAGCAGAAUCUGUCCUAAUUUAUUUAAUUAUGGUAACGUUUUACAAUUUGUGAAAGAACUGUUGCUGCCAAUCUUAGAAGCAGCUGUGUUUCAGUAAUGGAUUAAGUCUCUAUAUACAUCAUAUUUCACAGGAGUUGCAAAACCUGUGUUUGUAAAAUAUUUUUCAUUUCUUGAAGGAUGUAACCAAUAUGAAUGAAGUGUGUUUAUUUUUGUUAUAUUUACUUAAAAAUACACCUGGAAAUAUUGUAUGUGAACUUUAUUAUAUGUAGGUCCCAGGAGAUGAUCCUUCUCUCCUCCAACUAGCUUCUGUCUGAAAUCUUCCAAACAGUUACCUUACGUGGUAAUGCUCUGUCUGGCUUGACAGGGCGAUGCAGCAGCUUCAUUUUCUGCUCAGAGUCUGUUGGAUUCAGUCAGAAAGCUUCCCUUGGUCUCAGCAUCCGCUGUAGCAGAGCCUCCGCGAUUUACUUUGCAACCACUCUCACCAGCAAAAGUUUGUGACAUUUAUAAUAGUGAAUAAACAGCGGGGGCACAGUGGUGACUGGACACCACUUUGGAAGCCAGAAAAUAAUCAUUAUGUAGAAACAAGCUGGAAGCCACUGAUGUGACCUGCACGCAGCCCCUCAGCCUUGCAGGGUCCCUUGGGGUUUGCCUUGAGCCGCACAUUUCCCCACUGCGGUCAGUGUGCACUUGCUCACAUGUGCUCCUAGGGCAUUUGCCUUCCUCCUGGGAGCACAGGUAGGUUUUGCAUUUGCAAAUCAUUCCCAGUUCUUGGGUGGAAGGUGCUCCAAAAAUCGCGGAGUGCUCGUUCUCUGUUGUCCCAGGGUUUGCUAAUUAUUAAGGCUUUUAAUUAUAUAACAAUUCAACUUUAAAACUGUCAUAGAAAUAGCAGAGUUGGCUCCGCACCUUUUUAAUAGCGACUGCUGAGGUAUUUAUUAACAUCUGUUCCAAUCCAUUUUUCACUGAACACUGAGGGUUAGAAUAUGGAAAUGUCAUAUUUUUCUUAGUAUUAAACAGUUGCUGAACUAGAAACAUAACUCUUGCCAGACAGUUAUUUUGUAUGCAUGUCUUCUUCAUAGAAAAUGAACAUGCACUUUUCUUUCAUUAAGUAUUUUAAAGUUCAUCCUUGUUUUGUGACCUAAUCAGUUGAAGUGAGUUUAUGAGCGGCUUGUGAGAGCAGAAGAAUAAUUAAUUUUAAGUGUUGAAUAAAGCACAUUCUUUUCCAUUUUUGUUUGCUAAUGAAUACUUUAAACUAUUCAUACCCACAAUAACAGAUCUUAUAUAAAACAGAACAACAGAAAGCUUAUAGCACUUUAUAAAUAACCAUCUCAACGUUCAUGAACUAAAUUGCUACUUUUUAUGUGGCAGAUUGUAUAUUAAGGCAAUAUUAUACCAGAACUUCACGUAUGGAAAUAGAUCUUUAACAUUAUCAAAAGCUUAGCUGUAUUUAGUAGAAAAUAAGUGAAUCCUUUUGAAAUGUUUCUUAAAAAUGCACCAUUUUACAUCAAAAGGGUGAACAUUUUUCCAUUCUCCCAACGAGAACUGCAUCCGUGAGUGAAAGUAAAGCCGAGGUAUGCUACAGGUAGGCAGCGAUGUACAUCACUGCAACAUGCUUAGCUUUCCCAAAUUUUGCCACUGUUUGAUUCUGUAUUUUCACUUCUGCCAUUGGAGUCACUGGAGUCGCUUCAAGUUUAGGAUCUUCAUCUGACAUUUCCAGUGAUUUGGGUCUGCUGAGGAGCUUGGGCUUUUCACUGCUGUGAAUAUAUCAUUUUAAUGGCUUUGAACUGUUUUCACCGGACUAUCCAGCAUAAAGAGCAGCUCCGCUGAAGGGUUACUUUUUUUCCUUCUUUCACCCUAAAGGAAAUGCUUAUUCAGAAGUCUCACUUUGAAGUAAAACACACAAUACGCAGCUUUCCUCCAAUUAUGUUAUAUAAUGCUGAUUUCUAUUUAUAUAAGGAUAGGGUUUGUUUUAAAGCGGAAGCCCUUUCUGUGAGGUGACUGCACAGGCCACGGGUACUCACUCACCUGGCAGUACCAAGAUUCACCAGCUUCCACACUGAAUUUUAGCCAAGGCUCCAGUACAAAUUGUGAACUCCUAACACUCAGAUCUCUGACCACACACAUAAAGAUGUUUAGUUUUAAACAUUUUAUCUAAAAAAACAGGGACAGAAUAGUUCUGUGUUUGUUUGCUUGUUUGUUUGUUUGUUUUCCAGAGGAUUAUUCAGAAAGUAACUGGCUUUGCCAAAAAAGCUCACACUCAGAAAAUGCUGAUUUUUUUUUUAAACCCUUGAGUAUAUGGAGAAGACUGUGGAGCUUUCUGCUGCAGAACUUUCCAAAUGGCUUCCUUUGACAGUGGUUAGAAAGCAGCUUCUGCUACCAGUAGUUAUUAGUUAAAGAGGUUAUCUAGUUAAAGGGGUAAUCUAGUAGUUACUAGUUAAAGAGGAAAUCUCUUUUGCUACUCUUUUUGUAUUGUAUACGAAGAAUGUCUACUUUGACCUUCAGUGCCAUUGGUGUCGCAAGUUGUGAAACCAGGGUUGUACAAUGUUUUCUCCAUUAUGGUCGUCUCAGAGGGGACAGUUGCACUGUUGCAGUUUGGUGUCACACAUAUGUCCCCUGUACAGCUCGCAGCAAUCUGUAACCUCUUCCUACAGGUGGCCUCAGUCCAGUGUAGUUAGUUUGAAGCUAACAGUGUAACAUUGCUUGUUAUAGAUUAACACAUUGCUAUCUAAUUUGGUUAGUCAUUUGCAUUCUCCUUCCUUCUCUAGUUCCUUUAAAAGUGUGUUUUUCCCAGAAAGUGAAGAAGCAAAUACCUCAAUAAGUCAAUCUAAAAAAAAACCUAAAAAAACCCCCAACGUUUUCUGUUUUUCACAGCUCUUUGUCUCUUGCCUGUCUUUUUUCAGAUUAGGGGUGCCCCCUGGGCUGAGGUGUGAUGGGAUAACAACAACGGAAAGAGAAAUCUGGUGCUGUGAAUGGCCCUCUGAGAAAAUUGAUUAUGCUAUGAGCAGUGGAAGAUCCCAUCGGUUGCUCUGAAACGUGACCUACCUACUUUGAGGUGAGAUCUGUUUUGUUGUAAAGCAUGGCUUUAGUUUUUCUGUGUGUAUCAUGGAUUCUUGUCUUUAAUUUGCAGUUAACAACAACAACAAAAAAGUUUUCCUUAGUGAAGAGAAGGCUCCGGGGAGACCUCAUAGUGUCCUUCCAAUACUUGAAGGGAGUACCCCUGUUUACAGGGGUAGAUAGUGAUAGGGCAAGGGGAAAUGGUCUUAAACUGAGACAGGGGAGGUUUAGGUUAGAUAUUAGGAGGAAGUGUUUCACACAGAGGGUGGUGAUGCACUGGAACAGGUUGCCCAAGGAGGUUGUGGAUUCCCCAUCCCUGGAAGCAUUCAAGCCCGGGCUGGAUGUGGCUCUGGGCAGCCUGGUCUGGUGGCUGGCGACCCUGCAUAUAGCAGGGGGGGUGAAACUAGAUGAUCUUUGAGGUCCUUUUCAACCUAGGCCAUUCUAUGAUUCAGUGAUUCUAAGUUAGCUUAUUAAGUUGGAGUAUUUGUUUGAAAUUUUAUUUAUUUAUAUUACAGGUAUGGACUGAUAUCAUAGUUUUUGUCACUUAUUUGGAUUUUUCCUGAGUGCGAUGUGUUGCAGUCCAUCAGACCAGGUGGUGGGGAGUGAGAGCACCCUCAACCUCUAGUGUUGGUGUGAGGUUACAGUACACUAGUGGCAAUUUUGCUAGUCAUAUUAACCAACGUCUGUGUAGUACAGUAGAGUACAUUUAGUUUAGCCAUUGAUUCAGUUGUGAGGUACUGUCCUUUAGAAGUAGCAUGUUGCUUAAGUAAGCCGUAACACUUUCUGACAGUCACCAAAUUCUUGGUUCAGUCUUAUAGAUUUACCCAUGCAGAACUUGGGAAAGUCAGUAAGAGCAACUGAGCUGUUCCACACUAGGAUAAGAGAGGAAUACCUAGAAGGCAAUGCAGAACAAAUCCCUCUAAUUCAGCAUUUAUUCUCUAAGUCACUGUGAUGCCUUUCUUGAAGUGACAAAACUGGUUUGUUAAGAUGCAGUCGUGUCAGAGCUGGAAGUACAAAAGUGCAUUUAUUAAAAAUGAAUUCUGUAUCCUCUUCCCUCUUGUGUAUCUUGUCACUGACAUGACUCCACACACUGCAAAUCUGUGAAACUUUUAAAACAUGAAACUAGAGCUCAUUAAGCAAAAUGUCAACUGGUGUAUAGCAAACUCUUUCAGAAUGAAGACUGAUAAUUUUUUGUCUCCAGAGUUUUUUGUCUUCUAGGUCAUCACCAAGCCAUCCAGCUUUCUGGGAAUAUAGUUUGUGGUUUCUGUGAUCGGAGUCUGACUGUCC